AAAAAACAAAAAAAGUAAAUAUUUCUCCUUAACUAUAUCGAUGACGGCAACACAACAAAACCCUAUUCAAGCAAAAGUUGGGUAGUUGAGGAAACGAUGUAAUCAUACCCGAAUGACCCGUCACCUAAGAUAACUAUAGGAAAGGAGCUUAAUUGCUUGAUUGCUUAAUGGGAUUUCAGGUGUAUUUUUAGGCCAGUCUGAUGAAUUGUUGAUCAAAAUAUUUUCACCCCCAAACUUACGCACUUUUCGGAUCGUCGGAUCGUAUUUGUACUUCUCGACAUCGCAAAAAUUGAAUAGAGAGGUGCAAUUGUGCAUAUGUACGUUUACAAGUCCAUUGGCGAAAUUAUGAAAACGACCUGAUUCUCUUCACGAGCAAUCGCCUACUACAACGCUGGAAGACAUCUCGAUUAACGACUUACAACUAAUCUCGAUUUGAAAUUCGCCUUGAAUAGCAAAAGCGAGAAAUUAGUCGCGAUCGAUUCAGGCUACACAUCUACAAUAUGUUAUGCUAUAAAACAAGAAAUGUUUUUGAGUCGAAAACGCAAAAGUUUCCUAAAUGAAUGCAGCCCUCUUGCAACAUUUUAUCUAUUAAGAUUGAAGUUUGUUUGCAUUUGAAGAACUUCAGGCGAGCCUGGGGUAAAUUGAUGCAAGGCGUCUCUCUCCGUAUUUUACAUAUUUACUGUUUAUGUUUCUCGUUGCAAGGCACGGGUGUUAGUUAUUCAAUUAAUAUUUGAUAUGAUUAAGCGCCGGUA
Molecule: long non-coding RNA, 752 nt
Organism: Glossina fuscipes
Lineage: Eukaryota; Metazoa; Arthropoda; Insecta; Diptera; Glossinidae
Exons: 2
Source: RefSeq, a predicted model, not a curated record